This 1121-nucleotide long non-coding RNA is filed under the name Phoenix dactylifera (date palm). RNAcentral's name for it is "long non-coding RNA (PDAC_LNC004737)". The record is from RNAcentral. Lineage: Eukaryota; Viridiplantae; Streptophyta; Magnoliopsida; Arecales; Arecaceae.
UACAUGAAAGAAAAAUUUAAUAGAUUUUAUAAAAAGAAAAAUACUUACAAAAGUGAGAAGGAAAAAAAAAUGAAAAUAAGGAACAAGUCCUCUCGGUGGGACACUCAACAUAAAACUCUUUUUUUUCUUCUUUCCAAGAACAAAGCAUCCCUUGUUCUUGGUUUUUCUACUCCCCUUGCCCAGCCGAGAGCCCCUCCCUCCCCUUCUUUUUCUUUCUUCUUCUCGGGUCCCCCCCGUCUCCCCUUUUGAACCAGCCGAGAACCUCCCCUUUCCUCCUUCUUCUCCUCUCUUUAAAUAGGUCGCCCACCUCUUUCGCCCGCCGAUGGAUCCCUUGAUGGAGGAGUAACGGAAGCUUGAUUGUAGGAAGGAAUGAGCUAGCCGCGGGAUGCUGGGAUCACGGAGAAGGGGAUCGUCCGGGAUGUGGAAUGGAAGAUGACUGCGGACGGCUGGAUUGUGCGCGGGAGGGUGGGAUUCCGGGAGGUGGAUCUGGAUAAGGGGGCGCUACGGGAUCGCUGGGAGAAGCCGAUCAUCCGGGUCGCACGCGGAAGAGGAUGCCACGGAUUCUUUGCUGGGAGGAGGCAAUCGUCCGGGUCGCGUGAUCGAUGGGAGGGAGUUGAUCACGGAUGCGGUGCUUGGGAGAUCCGAUUGCUAAUUUGGAAAGGAAGCUAGGAUGCAGAACGGCACGAGAUGAGAUGCUGGCACUCGGAAGAGGAGGACGCAGCAUCUUGGAUCAUGCCUUGCAAUUGGACGGAAGAAGCUGGGGCUCGUGGAAUCGCUGGGAGAAGAAACGGAUGCUAGGAUCAUGGCUUGAAAUCGGACGUGGGAGGCUGAAACGGAAGGGAGGAGACGCAGAAGAGGCGGACGGGCGUAAGAUCCUUUCUUCUCCCCUAUUUCCGCACAGGAUGAAGCUGGAGAUUGCUGUGGGGAGGAUGGGCUGAUAUGGAAGAAAGCUGGGACAAGCAGAAGAAGGAUGCUGCCGUGGGAUUCAUGCUGGGAUGCCGACGAUCGGCUGGAUGCACAGGGUGCUGGAACGGGCGGCUCGCGAGCAUCGUGGAGAAUUGGAUCUAUAUUCCGGAAGGGCGCAGGUGCUAAUCCGGAAAGGAAGUAAUGCGAGGAUCAAU